UGGGUUGUGGCUCAGAGGAAGAGCGCUUACCUGGCAUUCGUGAGGCACUGAGUUCAAUCCUCAGCACCCCAU
Molecule: transfer RNA, 72 nt
Filed under: Ictidomys tridecemlineatus (thirteen-lined ground squirrel)
Lineage: Eukaryota; Metazoa; Chordata; Mammalia; Rodentia; Sciuridae
Description: Spermophilus tridecemlineatus (thirteen-lined ground squirrel) tRNA
Rfam family: tRNA
About the family: Transfer RNA (tRNA) molecules are approximately 80 nucleotides in length. Their secondary structure includes four short double-helical elements and three loops (D, anti-codon, and T loops).
Source: Rfam by way of RNAcentral